AUGAUGCAUAAGAAUGCCUUGGCUGAUAUUCUGGAGAGUGUCAAAACUGCUGAAAAAAAAGAGGCAGAUGCCAGCUCCAUGCUCCUGUCAUUGCUGUGAUGAUGUAGCAUGUUCCAUUGAUGAAUUUAAGUUCAUCAGUGAUCACAGAGCUGGGAAAAUUCGUGUAAAUCUCAUAGGCAGGCUAAACAACUGUGGAAUGGUCAGCACUAGAUUUGAGGUGCAGCUCAAAGACCUAGAAAAACCAGUAAAUAAUCUGCUCUGUCUCAGCAACUUGGUUUCACUGUACUAACAACCUCAGUUAGCAUCGUGGAC
Molecule: long non-coding RNA, 312 nt
Filed under: Mus musculus (house mouse)
Lineage: Eukaryota; Metazoa; Chordata; Mammalia; Rodentia; Muridae
Description: long non-coding RNA chrX:84879886-84880198
Source: RNAcentral